This is a non-coding RNA of Pholiota conissans, 74 nucleotides long. NCBI's taxonomy places the organism in Eukaryota, Fungi, Basidiomycota, Agaricomycetes, Agaricales, Strophariaceae. The record is from the annotation of a GenBank genome assembly.
GGCCGACUAGCUUAGUUGGUUAUAGUGUCGUCCUAAUAAGGCGAAGGUCUUGGGUUCGAUCCCCAAGUUGGCCA